GGCUUCGCAGUGGAGAGGAGGCGGGUCUUGACUGGUUACCUGGGUAACCACUCCAACACUGGUGUUGAUAGGAUGGCAAUGAGGAAGGGUUUGACACCUAAAACUAGCAACCAGUUGGUGAUCAACUCUGUUGCCUUUCAAGACCACAUCACACGCAGCCGGCUGCAUCCAAAUUUCUCCCUUUCUGACCCUUUUUUGCUGAUAUGCAAAAGAAAAACACCCAGAAAAAGAGUGGAGGAGAGGGGUCUGCAGACACAAGAUGGGCAAGAAGAGAGAGAAUAUGUGCUGGAUUCUGCACCACCUCCUUUAACAUUAGCUCAGAAGUUGGGUUUGGUGGCCUCCCCUGCAGGGAGACUGACAGAGGACGAAUGGACUCAGGUCAAGGCGAGGUCUGUUAAGCAGAGGGACUCGGCUCAGCCCUGUGCAAUAUGCAGGGAGGAGUUUUGCCUUCAGCCUCAGGUGCUGCUGUCUUGCUCUCAUGUUUUCCAUAGAGCAUGUUUAAAGGCCUUUGAGAGGUUUUCUGGGAGGAAGUGCUGCCCAAUGUGCAGAAAGGAGCAGUAUGAGACACGGGUGAUCCACGAUGCAGCUCGCCUCUUCAGACACCAAUGUGCCACCAGAAUUCAAGCUUGCUGGCGAGGCUACGUUGCUCGGAAAAGGUACAGAAAAUUGAGGAAAUCCAUUUGCCCAAAAGACAAACGGCUACGACGGAAAUUCUUCGAAGCAAAGUUGCAGGAGUUGAAUGACAGCUUUGUCCGAUACUGUCACACCGACACGGAGGCUUUUCUGAGUGAUAUCAACCGCUCCCUGUCAUCAAGCAGACGAGUGUUCCAGCAGCUGGAGAGAAAGCACGUCUCCGAGCCUCCGGAGAGCGACUGGGACCGAAUACAGAGCCAGGUGAUCCAGAGAGAUGUCAGGGACUGCCCCAUCUGCCUGACUGCACUGUGCAGCCCGAGCCUCCCAACAGAAACCGCUACAUCCAGCCAUCAACAAUGCAGACGCACUGUGCUUCUGUCCUGCUCCCACCUCUUCCAUCAGCGCUGUUUAGAGGCCUUUGAGGCCUUUUCUAUAGAGAGCAGACCUUCCUGUCCCCUGUGCAGAUCUGUCUACCACAAAAAGCUCAUCUGACAAGUUUGGUGCUACGGCUUUAACCAAGAGACUGCCAUUAUUUGAUCCCACCACUUAUACCUGUCCCAGGAUCUAAGCGGGGAAAGUUUGAACCCUCCGAGCAAAUGCAGUCACAACACAACAGGAAAUGUCACGGACAGUUCAACAGCUCUUUUUCUCCAGAGACGAACUGAACACUCUGCCUCGGGGUAGCCAAAUCUGCUCAGCCGGCCGUAGAGGAAAAUGGUGAGAAUUUCAACUGCAGUAUCUUCAAUGACAUCACCCUAAACUGGAGUUAAAUAUAUCCUUCUUCUCCUGCUGCUGGCAACAUCAAGUCAGAGACUGAGUUACAGCGAGGCAGAGAUGCUGAGUGAGGCUUCUGGCAGCCAGGAAGGCCCGGAGUAAUUCAACGUAUCCUCUCCAACCUUCACCACAGUCGAAAAAUUACGUCAUCCACACAUAUGCUAAACACCAUGCUGAGACAACAGAGGCACCGGCAAGGUCAUUGUGCCGCAUAGCAUCUGGACAGGCGCUCUGUUGCUCUGCUAUCAGCAGAUCAGGGUCUUGAGAGGGCAGCGUGGACAAGUGUGUGUAUGCCACAGUGAGUGUACUGCAGUAUGUCUGUGUACUCUGGUUAUUAGAUUGCACUUUUACAGUAUCUUCUAAGCUAAUAACCCAUUUAAAUCAGAAACACAGUGGUUAUCUAAUUGGAUACAAUUUGCAGACAUUAGGUUGGAUCUACAACCUGAAUUCUUUGAGGCAAAGUUCUUUCAGCAGGGAAGACUCAUCUUGAAGAUGCUUUUAGAUUCAUAUUAAGAAGACAAGACCAGUUGUGCGCACUAUUCCGUCAAACAUAAGCACCACUUUGUGUUUCCCUUUAAGUAAAGCAUUUUUGCUUGUAUCGCAACUUCAAAAAUUACCUCUUUUGUCUGGGAUAUCUAUAACUUUUGUAAACUUGGCAGUUGCAGUGUGUAGGAUCUGGCGACAUCUAGUGGUGAGGUUGCAGAUUGCAACCCACUAAAACCUCUCCCGUGUGCAAAGAGUGUAGGAGAACUACGCGAAUGGCCCCAUCUGGAGCCAGUAGUAAGAGUAGCAUAGGUAGUUUAGAGAAUAGCAGAGCCAGUGUAUAUUGAGUUUAUGUGUACGCGGUAAGUUACAUGUAGUGGUGAAGCAAGAGAGAGAGAGCGGCGGCGAAUGUGUGUGAGCAAAAAAGUGAGCUAAUGGAGCAGAAGACAGAGUUAGUUUAGCUUUGAGAAUAUCAAGUGAAUGUGCGGAAAUAAAUGCUGCAGCUCCUCAAAA
RNA transcript from Sebastes umbrosus (honeycomb rockfish), 2403 nucleotides. It is a transcript of the gene named ring finger protein 32, with no coding region annotated. The record is from RefSeq and is a predicted model, not a curated record. The transcript has 10 exons. Lineage: Eukaryota; Metazoa; Chordata; Actinopteri; Perciformes; Sebastidae.